AAGCGCUGACCUAGAUGUUUGCCUAUCGGACAGGUCUAUAGCCAAGGUCCAUGCAACCCUAGCGCGUACCUCCAACGUUCUCUACUUGUUGAAUGAGAGUCGUGGCGGCGAUGUGGUCGUGAAUGGCCAGCAUGUGGGCUCCGUAGCCACCGUCACCUACCAUGAUGCAAUCGAUGGGUUUGUCAAGUUGCGCUUCGGAAAUGUGGAUGCCGAGCUUUGCCUUUUACCCACCAUGACGGGCGAGUAAUGUGGGCGUAGGAACAAGUCGGGUUCAAAGUUCUUAGUUCAAAAUUCAUAAUUUUUCAAAAUUUUUCGUGCACACGAAUUUCUGAGUUACGAUUUUUUUAAAUAAACCAUAAAAUGCUGCUUAA
Molecule: long non-coding RNA, 371 nt
Organism: Scaptodrosophila lebanonensis
Lineage: Eukaryota; Metazoa; Arthropoda; Insecta; Diptera; Drosophilidae
Exons: 2
Source: RefSeq, a predicted model, not a curated record